RNAcentral lists this ribosomal RNA (474 nucleotides) under uncultured bacterium. RNAcentral describes it as "bacterial SSU rRNA". It matches the Rfam family "Bacterial small subunit ribosomal RNA", at positions 19 to 518 of the family's 1533-position model. The record is from RNAcentral.
CUGGCUCAGAACGAACGCUGGCGGCAUGGAUUAGGCAUGCAAGUCGAACGGUGUAGCAAUACACAGUGGCGGAAGGGUGAGGAACACGUGAAUAAUCUGACCCUCAAAGUUGGGAAUAACUUUCCGAAAGGAAAGCUAAUACCGAAUGUGGUGUUUUAUCGCAUGAUAGGACAACUAAAGAUUUAUCGCUUGAGGAUGAGUUCGCGUCCCAUUAGCUAGUUGGCGGGGUAACGGCCCACCAAGGCAGAGAUGGGUAGCUGGUCUGAGAGGAUGAUCAGCCACACUGGGACUGAGACACUGCCCAGACUCCUACGGGAGGCUGCAGUCGAGAAUCUUUUGCAAUGCGCGAAAGCGUGACAAAAAGCAAUGCCGCGUGCCGGAUGAAGGUCUUCGGAUUGUAAACGGCUGUCACUCGGGACGAAAAAUGACGGUACCGAGGGAGGAAGCCACGGCUAACUACGUGCCAGCAGCAGC